UGGUAUGGAUAGUGACGCUGAAACUUCCCCUUCUUCUGAGCAGGACCACUAGACUAGCCCUUCUUGUCAUCUUGAGAGCGAGACUGAUCAACACCUGAGGAUUUCUGAGUUUUAAUAGUGUACUGCUGCUGCAUCUCCACACCUAGAGCCUGCUCCAAAGUGGUGCGAAAAUCCACCAAUGGAAAGGCCCCCAAAGUGUGCCUGAUCGAUGGUU
Molecule: long non-coding RNA, 214 nt
Filed under: Sorghum bicolor (sorghum)
Lineage: Eukaryota; Viridiplantae; Streptophyta; Magnoliopsida; Poales; Poaceae
Description: long non-coding RNA (SBIC_LNC013885)
Source: RNAcentral